Long non-coding RNA from Athalia rosae (coleseed sawfly), 515 nucleotides. RefSeq lists it as uncharacterized. NCBI's taxonomy places the organism in Eukaryota, Metazoa, Arthropoda, Insecta, Hymenoptera, Athaliidae. The transcript is spliced from 2 exons. The record is from RefSeq and is a predicted model, not a curated record.
CGGAAUCAACGGAGGAGAUAGGUGCGAGCGUUCGGUGCUCAGCCAAGUGUCCGUCCUCACAUUCAUCCAUAUUGUUCGCCAAUCUUAGAAAAACACUUGGGAGACUGCUUCACCCAGGUUAAAAAGCGCUCUGCAGCCAUUCUCGCGUUCUUCAUUAAUCAGGGAAUAUUUUAGUAAUCGUAAUUCAAACAUGUGGAAUCUUUCAAGGUUCAGUUAAUUAUGGCAAAAACUGGUGCCAGGACUCGAACGCAGAGUGAUGGGAUCGAAAAAACAGCGACGUCCCGGACGUGAAUAAGAAUCGGGUGGCAAGCAGAUUGGGAGUUGAUGUAUUUGCUAGAGAAAGCGUGCAGAAGAAUAAUGCGAAGACUACGUGAGGACGAGACCCCGAUGAAAACGAACAAUUCGUUCCUAUCCCAAUAUUCGUUUCAACGGUGAAAUUGCGACGUUUGUCAUUAACUAAAGUAUGAGGUUACAGGAAUAUUUACGCUCGAGCAACAUUGGACGUAAAAAAUCAA